GGAGUAUUACUCAGCAAUCAAAAAAAAAAAAAAGAAAUCCUGCCAUUUGCAACUACAUGGAUGGAACUGGAGGGUAUCGUGUUCAGCAAAAUGAGUCCGUCAGAAAGAGACAAAUACCAUAUGAUUUCACUCACGUGUGGAAUUUAAGAAACAAAACAGAUGAACAUAGGGGAAGGGAAGGAACAAUAAGAUAAAUACAGAGACGGAGGCAAACCGCAAGAGAGACUCU
Leopardus geoffroyi (Geoffroy's cat) is the source of this 229-nucleotide long non-coding RNA. RefSeq lists it as uncharacterized. The record is from RefSeq and is a predicted model, not a curated record. NCBI's taxonomy places the organism in Eukaryota, Metazoa, Chordata, Mammalia, Carnivora, Felidae. The transcript has 2 exons.